Molecule: ribosomal RNA, 107 nt
Organism: Ursus americanus (American black bear)
Lineage: Eukaryota; Metazoa; Chordata; Mammalia; Carnivora; Ursidae
Source: Ensembl
GUCUACGGCCAUGCCACCCUGAACGCGCCCGAUCUCGGAAGCUAAGCAGGGUCGGGCCUGGUUAGUACUUGGAUGGGAGUAUAAUGUUGAAAGCCAGGUGUGAUACC